ACUUACAUUCACUGCAAGAGAUCCCAAGCAGAGAUGCAUUACAUUUUCUGAUCCCGGACAAAGGACAGAGAUGUUAAAAUACAUUGCUAGAAUGUUCCAGAUCACAGAAACACCACAAAACAGAGAUCACAGCAAAAAAGAUCAUAUUUUGUGCAGGAAAUAGAGACACAGUGAGGGUAACAAUGUGCGCUUCACGGAAAGAAUUCUUGUGCAUCUGAAGAAGCCACAAAUUCUCACCUCUUCGGUACAUAUCUUCAGGUUUUAUUGCAAUAUCCCUUCAACUUGUCCCUGUCCGGACUAGUGGCUACAAUAACACUUUGGCUAGACACUACCAAAAUAUCGGUGGAUUGGCUCCCGAUAAAACCAGGAGGUUCCUCCGUCAAAAGACACCGGCUCUACCACUGAGAUUACAGCUGGUAAAUCUCUGCCCAACUGAUAAGUGCUAUCAGCCACUUGUCCAUGCUUCUUCAACACGCACACAGACACUGAGAUACCCACACUGGAGCACGUCCUAAUCUCGGGCAGUGGAACACACCAAGUUCACGAGAGUAUCGAAAUUUAGUGAUAAGGAGUAUAUAAAAUGAUACACUCUAGCGCUAGUCGGGUAGAUUGACUACAGGAGAGAUCGCCUGGAGAUUUUUGACAUGCGACAAUGACGUCAUCUCUGCAAAUAUCUCCGGAUCGAA
Phlebotomus papatasi is the source of this 686-nucleotide long non-coding RNA. RefSeq lists it as uncharacterized. The record is from RefSeq and is a predicted model, not a curated record. The transcript is spliced from 3 exons. NCBI's taxonomy places the organism in Eukaryota, Metazoa, Arthropoda, Insecta, Diptera, Psychodidae.